AUCAAAGCUGAUGUAUGGAAAUAGUUCCCCGUCUGUAUGGCUGGUGGUUUUUGUCAUAUUUAAUAUGGAUGUAAUUGAUAACAUAUCCUCAGAUAAUCGUGGAGAUGUUCAUCCAUUCUUAUCUUGUUUGGAUACUUGCCUACACCUUUAUAACGAAGACAGCACAAACAUGGGAAAUUCAUUAACUUGGAAAGGAAACCAAUUACUGAAACUACUUGAUGUGGCAAGGAGUCAUCCACAGUCAAACAUUAACCAUGCGCAGGAUUUCCCUCACAAAUUUGCUCCUAAUACCAAGUAUAAUAAACGAACGGUAACUGUGGAUCGUCUCUUUUAUUGCCACAAAACGUGUGUGGAUCUUGUUAUGUCCAGAAAUCAUACUAUCAUUGGUAAAUGAUGUUAGAGAAGUACCCUGGGGCUGUAUCCGUUCUAUAAACUAACUAUAAAAUGG
Long non-coding RNA from Patella vulgata (common limpet), 448 nucleotides. RefSeq lists it as uncharacterized. The record is from RefSeq and is a predicted model, not a curated record. NCBI's taxonomy places the organism in Eukaryota, Metazoa, Mollusca, Gastropoda, Patellidae. The transcript has 3 exons.